This is a non-coding RNA of Oryctolagus cuniculus (rabbit), 13208 nucleotides long. The record is from RefSeq and is a predicted model, not a curated record. NCBI's taxonomy places the organism in Eukaryota, Metazoa, Chordata, Mammalia, Lagomorpha, Leporidae.
GUCACCCAGAGCAACAGCUAAGAGCAGGCACUCAGGAGCCAGUGCCUGGGGUCAGGCCACAGUUUGCCAAGUGGGCAACCUACUAACCCUCGAGGUGUCUGUCUGUCUGCUCACCCGUAACCGGUGACAGCAGCACCUCCAUGUAGGGCUGUGGGAGCAUUAUUACACGAGUCCUUGCCUGUCACAGACCACACUGUGUGACUCCAUCCUUGCAGAGUGGCUCUGCGGGAUGGGGGGGGGGGGGUCCGCCCUGCUGGCCACCCACAGCACGGGGGUUCCCAGCAGUGCCCUCCCUGACCGUGACCCACACACAUACCCCAGCGAGGCUAGAACUCUGUGUUCUGAGCAUCCCCAGGCCCUUUCCUCCCAUUCAAAGCUGAUUCAGUGAUUCACAGUCAAGCCUGAGAUUAUUGAAGCAACGUUCCUCUGCCCCUCCGACACAUGGAGUUCCCUGAGAACAAAGGCUGCCUCUGGUUUUGCUCAUCAGAAAACACUCAGUUUCCAGUAUCACACAGAAGGUCCACAUCCCCUAAAUACCUGUAUAUGAGAUCAUGUCGUAAGAGCUGCUCUUCAAUGAGCAUCUACUAUGUGCCAAGCACAUUAGUACAGUGUCUGAUUUGUUCCUCCCAGUAGCCCCAUGGUGUGGUCCUAAUGUGAUGCUUACUGUAAAAAUCAGAAAACUGAAAUUCAGCCAGCAACUGCUCCCGAGCCCCAGGGCCAGGCAUUGGCAGAGCCUGCUCUCAGGCCUCCGCCUCCGAUCUUUAACUGCUCGCUUCAAUGCCACUGAAAAUGCGGCUAAAGAGCCUACCCUCACUGGCUUACUGCCUCCUGCAUCAUAAUCCAUAAUGCCCCAGCAGACACACUCCUGAGGGUGCACACCCUGCUCUGCCCCCUCCCCCAACACAUCCCCCCAGCCCAGGGCCUCCCUCCAGUCCACAGACAGAGACCAUGAGCAAAGGGGAGGACACGGUGAAUGUACCAGGGCCUGGGCUCAUGUAUCCCUGGCGUUGCCUGGGUCCCCACGUGCCUGGGUUGUUGCCGCCAAGACAUCGAGCGAGGCAGAGCACGCAUGCGCCUUCCGCUCUCUCCAUGGCCUGAGGGCCUCUCUGCAGGAGCUGGACUCGGGGCCGCCCACCCCAGUGAGGUGCCCUGUGCUGGGUCCCGGACACAGAUGCUCGAUGACACCCAUGUGCCCAAGUCCAGACGUUGCUGAAACCCCAGCACAGGCAGAAGGAGCGGCAGCCGCGCUGUCCCGGGCCCUGCGGAAUCCGCACACAUUGAGCAAGUUGAGCGGAGGGAAUUGGGGUGCACUGGGAGAAUGGGGUGGGGCCAGUGCAGGGGCAAAGUGGGAGGGGCCUGGCAGCGUCCCGCCUGCGACAGAGACGGGGAAGGGGCCCCUCGCUGUUAAAAGCCCUUUACACAGCCCCGUCCCUAGGUCGACCAAAGCACCAGCUGAGCCCGGCGAACGGAUCCCCAACAGCCCCGGCCGUGUCCACACGGAGGGGCCUGUGAGUCCCGCCCUCGGCGGAGCCUCGGCGUGGGGGCGGCCUGCUGAGUCCGAGCAGGCGCGGGGCCUCACAUAGCCUCGGAAGCCCCCGUCCCGGUCUGGGUCUCGGCCUCUGGGUGUGACACACGCGGGAGGACAGAGAUUCCGCGCUCCUAGUGCGCCCAGGACCCCUCUCAGCCCCUCUGCGGAUGUGGGGACAAAUCUGCCAACCAGCGCGGGGAAGCUGGGAUCAGUGACGGCUUGGAUCAGCUUCCAGGAAAGCCCAGCAGUUGUCAUGUCCGGAAGGGUACGGGGAAGUGGACCGGGGCUCUGGACAGAGGCCUGAAACCCGCCCAUCACUGCAGUGCCCUGCCCAUCGCUGUAGCCCCGCCCUUCACAGCAGUGUCCACGCCCACCGCCCACCGCGGUAGAGAUCCCUGGGGCUUCCAGGGGCGGAGCCGAGCGCGGUGAGAGGGUUUUUUCAUCCCAGAGCUCUACAGGAGAAACUCGGAGACCUGGGGAUGUUACUGACUUGUUGGAUCACCGAAUCCUAGGAAGGAAUCGGGGAACGCAUCUCACAGAGGGGAACAGAAUCAACACAGAGACUCGCCAGUUAGCUCGUUAAAUGGAGUAGCCGCGCAAAGCCCCUCGCACGUGCCUGAGGCUCAGCACACAGGGGUCUCCCCACGUCUCACAGCCCCUCCCAGGCCAUUGUCAGGGGUUCCCCCUGAGCCUCCUUCCAGCCCCACCGGGAUUCUUGAGGUGCAGUGUGGAGGAGGCAGGGCAGUCAGUCCUUCCACCUCCCCGGGACCCCAGCCCACAGGGUGGGUCAGGAGCCUGUCUCCGGCUGCUGACUCCUAGUGCCAGGGACCCCCGAGAGAGGAAACCCCACAGGAUGAGGGUUGAGGGCUGAGGACCCAGAUCCUGGGGUCGGGGCAGGUGUUGGCCUGGGAUAUGGGGUUUGGAGGCCCCCUUAGGAGGCAGGAAGUCUCUGCUCCCACUUCUGCAGAAAAAUGGAUUCAGAUAGCUCCGGAUUCAAAUCCCAGCCCCACCACUUCUGGGAUACUUGGUCUUUCCAGGAGCGUUUUAGAGCCAAGCCCCCAGAGAACCAGGGUAAGAUUCUAGAGUGCAGGAAUGCAAGAACACAGAGACAGGGCUUAGCUCAGUGCCUCACCUACACCUGCGGGGGGGAAGAGGGGUGGGCGGGGCAGACAGACACACAUGUGCCUGCAGCACAGUUCCAGCCAGGUGUCCUGACCCUUCCUCGUCGGCCCCCAGAGUGAGGAAGGACCCCAUAUGCUGCACCUGUUCUAGGUUGUGUUCAAGGUCAACUGAGGGUGAAGGGGUGGUCUCCUCGGUCCUGUCCACCCUUGAUUCUGUUUCUAGACACUCGAGAAGACUCAGACUCUCGGGGGUCUGGAAUGGCCGUGUCUUUCCUUGGUGUCAGCUUGUGACCGGCUCAGCCUCACUAGGAGUCAUGGCUGCCUCCAUCCUGUCCCCGCAGAGAAAGGGACGCAGGGGUCACUUCUGGGCCCUGAUCAUCAGGAAGUAGGUGUGUCCUCUCCACUCUCUUUCUCCUCACCCAACACCUGGGGACAGCAGAGUGGGGCAGGGUGGACUUCCACCCUCCCUGCCUCCCACCAGGUUUCUGGUGCAGGCGGGUGGUGGAGCUGAGCUCUGGGGAUGUCCUGACUCUGGGCCCCGAGAUGACAAAGGUGGAGGUGAUAGGUGGCCGCUGCUUGGCUUUGCUUGUCUUUCUGCAGCUCUGUUGGGGUGUGACUAACAAACAGGAAGCGUUCACAUUAGAGGUGUGUGUCUGGGUGCUUUCCAAUCCCCCACCCCACGGGUCUCAGUUCCCUCACUGACACAACUGGAUAAGAGCAGUCCCUAACUCCCAGACUGUGCAGAGGCUCAACGAGAGAACCCAGGUGUUUCCCGCUACACGGCUCCUGGCCGGCAGGGAGCCCCCAACAAAUGUCAGCUGGCCCUCGGGGGGUGCCGUCCCCAGGGCUGAUGUCUGGAGGCUGCUGGGCGUUCCACUUGGUCCACUGAGGAGUGGCAGGGAAAUCUCAAGAACCAUCAUCAGAGAGGCACGAGCUCCAUCGCGUGAACACGGCACCAUCAUGAUGGAGCUCUCUAAACAUGCGGAGGGGUCACGUGACUGAAAGCGUCCCAGAGCUGAGCAUUCACAAGCAGGCUCAGACCAACAUCAGGUUCGCAGGAGCUCACAGGAGGCCCUGGGAGGGAGGCAGUGACCCGUCUCCUUCCUCCCCACUCCCCAGUCCCCAGAGCCCUCCCUUCUCUGAGUCCCUGCUCCCCUCAGUACCCUCAUCUUUCUUCAUGGGGUAUGUGCUCGUCUUCCUGUGCUAGCAGACCCUCAGAUUCCAUGGCUGCAAACCACAGAAGACUACAUUUCCCAGCUUCCCCUGCAGCAAGGUACAGUCAUGUGACUAUAUGCCACAAAUGGCAGGUAGAAGAAGGCGUCCAUGCAUGCACUUGUGCAUGUGCAUGUGUGUCCAUGUGUACAUGUGUGUGCAUGUAUGCAUGUGUAAAACUGCCUAGUGAGUUCUUUUUUUUUAAUAUUUUUUUUGGACAGGCAGAGUUAGACAAUGAGAGAUAGAAAGGUCUUCCUUCCAUUGGUUCACCCCCAAAAUGGCCGCUGUGGCCAACGUGCUAUGCCGAUCCGAAGCCAGGAGCCAGGUGUUUCCUCCUGGUCUCCCAUGCAGAUGCAGGGCCCAAGGACCUGGGCCAUCCUCCACUGCACUCCCGGGCCACAGCAGAGAGCUGGCCUGGAAGAGGGGCAACCGGGACAGAAUCCGGCGCCCCAACCAGGACUAGAACCCCGGGUGCUGGCGCCACAGGCGGAGGAUUAGUUUAGUGAGCUGCGGCGCCGGCCCCCAGUGAGUUCUUGAAGGGAACAUUGCCCCGCAUUGCCCCUUCUCCUGGCAAAGCGCUGGAGGGGAGGGAAGGCCCAGCCGACCACGCGGGUGGAAGCAACCUUAGGAAGGCAGAGCAGCAAGCAGGGAGGCGCCUGGGCCCGCACACAGUGAGCCAUCAGGGAGCCCUGGAUGGCCAACACCCACGGCUAACGUGAGAGAAGCGCGCUUCUGUCCUGAUUAUGGCACCGGCACAGCGAGUCCCCUUAACCACGUCUUGAUAAUCUGCUGAUCAAGGCAGCUCUGCGCAGGAGCUCAGCUCUCAGGACCACCUGUGGGAAGGCCACGUGUGUCAGUUACCUACUGCUGUCCGAUCAGCUCGCCCAAAACUCGGCCCGAAAAUCCGAACAGCGCUCGCUGUCCUCCAGCCUGGAAGCAGAGGGCUGGGCUGCCCGACUUCUUCAUGCCAUUUCUCGUCUCUGAAACCCCUGUUGGUGAGUCCCUGCAGGUCUGGCACCCUUCGAUGCUAACAGGAAGACGGGGCAUGGCUGUCCGAGCCGCUUCGUGUCCCCAUGGCCCAAGGCCUGCAGUCACUUAGCCCCUCUCUCAUUCAUUUAUGCACCCAGGCGUCUUUGUUAGCACGUUAGACACCAUGGCCAGGUGUUCCUGGACACCCGCACCUGGUGAGGGGGGGACGGGGUUAGGGAAUCACAGGAACAGGUGAGUCUGGAGCAGUGGAAGGAGUGGGGUGUGGGGAGUCCCCACCGGGACUUGUCCGGCUGUACCUGGGGAGGCCAGGGACACUGAACUCAGCUGAGAUUGACAGGUAACAGUUUGUCUGGGGCAUGUAGUGGGCAGGGUGCGUGCCAAGACUCAGAGGCUUGGAACAGGCAGAGCGCGUGGCUGGGAUGGCUGGGAACACGGUGUGGCUUUAGGGAGUAGAGAAGGAGAGGAGAGAUGGGCCUGGCGAGGUGCGUGCCCGGGGUCCUUCUCCAGGUUCUCCCAGUGGCUGAUGCUUGCAGGACUCUGCCCCGAGUCUGAGUUCAAGUCCCAGCUUGGCUCUUGUCUCCCAUGUGAUUCUCAACAAGUGGCUCCACUUCCUGAGCUUCAGUUUCUUCCGUGUUAAAAUGCACAGAAGAUGCACCUCAUACACUGGUAAAGAGAGGGAAAGCCUCGAUCCAUCAGUCAGUCAGCAAGUGUUUAUUGAGUGGCUACUCUACACCAGCUUUGUGCUGGACGUGCGGCCGCAGCAGUGGACAGCCUGAGCUCAUGAGACCAACAGUCUCACUUCAGAGUGCCUGAGUCCCACUUCUGGUUCUAGUUCCUGAUUCAAGUUUCUUGCUAAUGCAGGAAGGUUUGGGUUCUUGCUACCCACAUGGGAGACCUGGGUUAAGCUCCCGGUCCCAGAUUCGGGACUCCCUACCCCAGCAUUUGGGGACUGAACCAGCAAAUGGGAGCUCACUCUCUCUCUCUGUCUCUUUCUCUCUCUCCCAAAUAAAACAAAAAAUAAAUGGUUAAAAUGGUCCAUUUUAGGUUGAAUAUAUUGAACCAGCAUAGCAAGUUUCCCAAAGACAGGUAUCCAUCAGUGUCACAUACCUUACUGACAGACCCAAGAGAAAUCAUGGGACCGUCUCCAUAGCUGCAGGAAAAAGCAUGUGACAAAAUCCAGUGCCCAUUCAGAAUGGAAACUGUGCGUGCUGGAGAUAGAAGGAAAAUCUCGCAGCAACUUGGAAAACGCCAGUCGAACUGAACAGAACUUGGGAAGGAAUUGAGCAGGCUUUUCCGGCUGCAUCGGAGUGUGAAAAGAAAAUGCUUGAAAACGAGAGUCCUUUCCUGUCGGUCCCUGGAGAGCACAGCGCUCAGGCGUUGGCAGCCCUUUUGCCGAGCGCCGAAGUGUGGCAUUCCUGCGUGAGUGAGCAACCCUCGGUGGUGACAACCGUGAUUUCCUGUGCGGGCACGUGCAGGUGUGCAAUACGAAUGUGGCUGGGUAAUACAGGAUUACUGCGUGGAUAGCAGUAUUAACUAAAGCAUACAGGGACACAGGAAGUCACUCCCGCAUCAUCUCUCCAGUCCCCACCCGCUCCAGAACGGCCACUGUUACAUUUGAGUUCUAUUUCGAAACUAUUCAGAUAAGAAACAUCUUACCAUCCAAGAAUCAGGUACAGCCUCUCCCACAUCCUCAUUUUCUCAGACCUGCCCACCUUAAUGCCUCCCCCCACCCCACCCCCACUGCCUCCUGCUGCCCAGAGCUGCCCAGGGCAUCCUCAAGCUAUCAGCGGGGGCAGGUGCAGGCUGGAAGCCGGAGUGCUGCCUACCGCCCCUCCCCCCAGCCCAGCGUGCAUCCUGCACCCAGUUCCAGGCAUCAGCCAUCCACCGAUGUGAGCACUGCCGUGGGCCAGGCUCCAUUGUGACAGCGGCCUGUGGCCCCGCUCCUGGGACUCUCAGCUUGGAACACAGAGGUGGAAUCAAACAGCUCAGGAGAACAGACAUCAGCCCCAGGUCUCCCACAGGACAGGGCCAAGCCUGCCUCCCUCACCCCUGAUCCUCAAGCAUAGCAAGACCUCAGGGAGCACCUGUGACAGAGAUGCAUGUACAAGGUGACCUCUAACAGCCCUGGCUGCUGCUUGUGGUCUGGAGGCCAGCAGCAGCAGCUCCCGGGAGCUCCCGGACCAGAGCUGAGCCUGCGUAGCAUCCCAGGAGGUUCUGGAAACUUGUACGCUCAGCCUCACCGCCCCACACCUUCCUCCUCCUCCCUCACUGUGCCCUCCGUGAGCCCUCUCCUCCCAUCCCUAAACUAUGAGGGGACUUCAAAAUGCUUGUGGGAAAUGGAAUGAAAAGACAAACGUAUUUGGGAGCAAAAAUCUGUUGAGAUCUGUGCCUACUCCUAGGAGUCAAAGCAUGAAGUCUGUGCUGGAACCGCCCCCUGGAGUCUGCUUCCGCCCACCCUCUGACUCCCCUUCCACAACACCCUUCACUCUGCCGACGACCUGCUCCGAGACAACUCGGGUACAGCCGGGGGAGCUGAGUCAGCCGGGAGAAGUCACCUCCCUGGGGUAGAGGGUGGUGAGGGCCAGAGGUGGAGGCGUGAGCUCAGCACACCCCCACCCUGUGCUGAGUCAGCCCCUGCGGAGUUGGAUGGGAGGAGCAUCCCUGGGGUUUCCCACGCUUUCCCAAGUCUCUUCUCUGGUUCUAGGAACUUUUCAAAGUGCCCCAGGCUGGAAGAAGGAAGCGGCAAGCUGAGGACAGAGGGUGUAAACCCACCUGCUUGGCUCCUGUCACCCCAGAGCAGGGGUUGGAAGGGCAGGAACCACCUGAGGACCAGAGAUCUGCGGGAUUCCUCUCCUGGGACAUCGCCCCAAGUCCCCCGGACCCCAGACUGCAGGGUUCUCCUUGCUUCUGCAGCUGGGCCCUGUCCCUUCACAGGGGACAAUGGAGGAAGGGCUGCCAGGCCUUGGGCCCCAGUGUCCCACAGCAAACACAGGGCAGGGCAGGCGCCCAAACCAGAGCCUCCUGAUGCCCACUUGAACGCUCCAUGCACCUGCCAUUCUCUGCGUGAUAUUGACAGAACCUCCUGCUUGGCAGGCGCCAGUCACACCCACACAGCCCUGCAAGCUGCCAAACGUCAUCUCCGUGUUUGCUGAAGCAAAGCUGAGGCUCAGAGAGGCUUCUGCAGAGCUGGGGGUGACCCUGCUCCAGGACCCAUCAUCAGCUCCUGCCCCCUGGGACCCUGGAGAGGUGUGAGCUCCAGGCAGCCCUCACUGCCUGGGUGAGCCCGACCUUCCCCCCAUCACAAGCGUCUGUGCUUUCUUUCCCUCCCCACCCAUGCAUCCACCUCUACCAUCUGUGGACCCCUGAUCCAGCCCUCUCCACCUCCUGCAUGCAUCUGGGAUGGGCUCUACCUUGGCUCCAAGAAUGGACCAAGGGGCCCAGGCCUGACCAAUCAAAGAUCUGCAUUCACCCUGGCCCUAGGGUGACAGAGAAGGACAUCAAUCAAACCACUCCAUACAAUAAUGUCAGAUUCACACCAGGAAGGCAACAAAACAGGGUGGAGGACAGAGAGGGUGCUGUGGUCCGAGUGCCUGUGUCCCUCCCAAAUGUACAUGUUGGUGCCUGGGUCCUGACGGUGAGCCCGCAGGGAUGGGAGGAGUCCCUUGUGGCGCCUUGGUUGCCUCUUCCUGCUGUGUGAGGACGCCGCAGGAAGGUGCCAUCUACAAAGAUCCAGCUCCUGCAGACCCCAAAUGCCCCAGUACCCUGACCUUGGAACUUCCAGCCUCUGGAACUACAAGUACCAAGUCUCAGUUGCGUGGAAGCCACCCGGCCUAAGGAGCCAGCACCACCUGAGACGCAUGGUGAUGGGAAGGCUUCGGGCCACAGGAAUGGUCACGUAAAAUUUGCUAGAGCCCGGAAGGAAGGAAGGAGGGGGACGAUGAGCUUCAGGGGGAGGACUUGGCGGCAGGAGGGAGGAGUAGGUGCAGAGGCCCGAGGCAGGAGGACCCAGCGGGAGGGCAGUGCAGCUGGAGGUGGGGGCAGGGCUCAGCCCAGGGUUCUGAGUGGACCAAGGUCAUCCGGCGCCAGGGGAGGACUGAGACAGAAAGAUGGGAACCCAAGAAGUGCUCCAGGAGGACAUGCCUCCAGGAGCCAACGCCCGAGUGUGCUGACACAGACAGAGCCCUCUCCUAAGCCCUCUCCUAAGCUCGCUGCAUGGGCCUGCACCCUUGCGACAGCCCGAUGAGGUCGGUUGCAUUAGCACACACACAGCAGGUGAGACUCUCGGGCUUAGAAGUCAGGAGUGUUAGGUAUAGGAUUCUCGGGCCCAAAGACAGUGCAGCAAUGAGCGGGUUAAAGCAGAAAAGCCUUUUAUUGUGGAGAGGAGAGCGCAGUAGGGAAGUGCAUCUUCGGCACCCCCGGGCAGCGGGCAGAGGCCCCUGUUAAGCUAGUUUUCAGGGGCAGGUCAUGUGGCAGUGCAGAAUGCCGCAUGGCCAGGACAGGCGGGCCUGGAUGAGCAGAAAGCCUCGGAGGCAGCCGUUUAUCCAAGCCAAUCGUCUGCAGUCCCGGGAGUGGUGCUCAUGAAGGUUGGCGCCAGGCUAGCAGAAUAAGAAGUAGAAUUCCACCAAGGCCUAGGGUUACCUAUAUGUGCCCAAUCUUUAUUUUUUAUUGACAGGCAGAAUUAGACAGUGAGAGAGAGAGAGAGAGACAGGGAGAAAGGUCUUCCUUUUCCGUUGGUUCACCCCGCAAUUGGCCGCUACGGCCGGCGUGCUGCGGCCGGCACAGCACGCCAAUCCGAAGCCAGGAGCCAGGUGCUUCCUCCUGGUCUCCCAUGCGGGUGCAAGGCCCAAGCACUUGGGCCAUCCUCCACUGCCUUCCUGGGCCACAGCAGAGAGCUGGACUGGAAGAGGAGCAACCGGGACAGAACCGGCACCCCAAACAGCGCUAGAACCCAGGGUGCUGGCGCCGCAGGCGGAGGAUUAGCCAAGUGAGCCGCAGCACCAGCCCUCUGUGCCCAAUCUUACCAGGGCUUUGGAAUUAGCUCUUUGUGCCCCAGUGGCCUAGUAGAUCCCAACAAUGUAGACUGGUUCAAGGUCAAGGUCAAGUUCACACAGCUAGAAAGCAGCAGAACUAGGAUUUGAACCCAGGCCAACUGGCUGUACAACCCUUUCUUUUUAUCACUAGCAGUUUAAAAGGUUGUUGAUUACCCAUAUUUACAGAUAAAGAACCUGAGGCUCAGAAUGGAUUUCUGGGUCUGAAGCCCCUUCUCUGCGGCUCCGGAGCUGACCCUGGAUGACUGACUACUGACCCUGGACCCUCCCCAGAAAUGCUCUCUUGGACUUGGGGGGCCUGGCAACCUCGCACACCCUUGCACAAAAGGCUGCGCCCCCACUCCGUGUUGAACCUACACAUAAGGAGGUGAUUCCCCAUGGUGUCUCUGCACCAGCAGCCUCCCCUGUAUGGGGGCCUCAGCAUCAGCACAGUCCAGUGCUGGGCACAGGUUGGCCCUGGCACAUGGUUGCUGACUGAGUGUCCGGAUGAAUUGAACCCUCUCCUUGGACCCUUUGUGGGAAGGGCUAGGCGGGAGACCUCAUCUCAACCCCGGUCUCUGGUGAGUAUCUCUAUACUGCCACAUUCCCAGGGGAUUGGGGUGCCUGCACCCCUUUUUCCCAGGGUCUCCAGGUUCCAUUCCUCCACAGUGGACCCCACCCCACUCUCUACUCUCCAGGCAAAGCCCUCAGCCCCAGGAAGCAGGGGAGUGGCUCAGAUAUCCUCUGUCCCGGAGAGGGGCAGAGCUGGGCGGGGACAGGAGCAGGGGACCUGGUAAACUCAGGCAGAAAGGAGCUCGGGGCACAGAGAGCUCCCUCACACCCCUUCCCUGUUGCAGGGGCUGCGCCACAGCCCUUUGUUAUCCUUGCAGGGUGGGCUUCAAGAGCAUUGUUUUUUGUUUUUUGGGGUUUUUUUGUCUUUUUUUUAAAGAUUUAUUUAUUUUAUUAGAAAGAGUUGCACAGAGAGAGGAGACGCAGAGGGGUGGGGGGGUAUCUUCCAUCUGAUGGUUCACUCCGCAACUGCCGGAGCUGCGCUGAUCUGAAGCCAGGAGCCAGGAGCUUCUUCCGAGUUUCCCACGCAGGUGCAGGGGUCAAGGACUUGGGCCAUCUUCCACUGCUUUCCCAGGCCAUAGCAGAGAGCUGGAUCGGAGUAGCGGGGUCUCGAACUGGUGCCCAUAUGGGAUGCCGGCGCCGCAGGCCAGGGCAUUCACCCACUGCGCCACAGCACCGGCCCCCAAGAGCAUUGUUUUGCUCCACUUGAUAAAAGUGCAAUUCACUGAAGGCUCUCAGAUGGAUAUUUCCAUCUCCAAAGCUUAUUUUUCAGGGGAAGAUCAAUCCCAAGGAACCACUUACAGUCUGGGGAGUCGGAUCCAUUAACACGUGCCAAGUGCCCAGGGGCUCAGGGAGGGCACCUCCGAGUAAACCAGAAAUGGUGGAACUGCCGGAGCCUGGAGCGAUGCUCACUGAGAGGCUUUACAAGUCUUCCUUAUUUCUCCUCCAACUGAAAUCAAAUGGCGCGUGUGAGUCUAGGACAGAUGAUGAAGGAGCUGCCACAGAGCCGAUCUGCCACCCGCAACCACAGAGAAGUCCCUCCCCGUGGAGGGGGCCCCUGUUCCUCUGGGGCUCAGCCUCUGGGACAUCUCAGACAUCUGGGAAGAGACUCUGGUUCCCACGGUGACAGCAGCUUCCAGUGUCCAGCGUUGUCCCAUGCGCCGGGCAGCCAGGGGCAAGGAAACCCCCACGGCCACCGUCCAUCAGAGAGGGAGGUGGAGAGCAGGCUUCUGAGCCAGCAGAGAUCAUUUCUAGAGGCUAAGAGAGGGCUGCAGGGAGAAGGGAGCCAGGGCAGGGGCAGCCUCCAACUGCUGCGACAGGAGCAGAGAGCCCGUCUCCAAAGAUGCAACACUGGACGCCACAAGGGCUGAUGCCAGGGUCACGGCCAUGAAAGGAUGCCCUCUGCUCUCAGCCACUGUGGCUCAUAUGCACCCAGCCCUGUGUUAGUGCCUUGCAUGCAUUAUCUCACGUAAAGGUCACAGGAGCCCCGUGCCCUGGGUUCCAUUACAAUUCCCAUUUUACAGAUGAGGAAUCCGUGGCUCACAGAGAUAAAGUCGUUUGCUCUGAAACAUCGUCGUAUAGCAAAGCUGGGUCUGAAGACUGCAUCACUGUUAGGCCCCCCUCUCACUCCUGCUUGCACAGCCCCCAGGAUGGGGGGCUCAGCACCCCCCAAGACAGCCCCUUCUCUCCCUGGACAGCUGUGACUGUGGGAGAGUCUUCCUCCAGCCCUUCCUGUUUUCAAAGGCAACUCUCCCUUCCCACAGGGGUGCUCAACCCCAGCUUCUAUAGCCCUACCCUUGCCUGGCUGACUUGCCCUGAAUGAAGGGACGUUUGCUCAGACACAAGGCUGGGGAUAGAUGGUAUCUGAUCCCCCACCCUGAUGCCCUCAUUCUUCAAGUCCCUGUGCACGCAUGCACGUGGGCACACACACACGCCUGCGCACACACACACAGAGCUAGAGGUCUCGAUGAUGAGCUUUGAUGGCAAAAUUGGCCACUGUUUCCCACUCUCCCCUCUGCCCUUGUCCUUUGCAACUCUUCCCAGCAGGAGGCAAAAUCUAUUUCCUCACUCAGUCUGAGCUACCCCGUAUCCUGGGACCCAUACAGCACAGCACAAGCGGCAUUGAACAAGGGCUGAGCCUAAACCUCCAGAGACCUCGUGCACCUCUGCUGUAAUUUACAACCUGUUUUCACCGUGAGAACGAAGCCCAGGAUCCUCCCUGGAGGCUGAGGGAACACAUUGAGCUGAGAUAAACCACCAAGUCAUCCCACAAAGGCCAGCUUCACCAGCCAACACACCAGCAGCCCAAGUGCUAAUAAUCCCAGCUGUGCCCAGCCAGGCCAAGCCAUGCCCAGCUGCGCCCAGCCCAGAGCUGCAGAACUGAUACAGGAUAAGGAAGCGAGCUGAACUGGAGGUGGCAAACCUCGAGGCCCUGGCCCAUGUAAUUCCACCUAUUUGUCAGACCACCCCCUUUCCCAGGAUGCCUUAUUUCCAACCAGGACCUGGGGAAGGGUCGCCAUGUACACAUUAAGCUCCACAUGGAAUUUUGUGCAGGUGUCAUAAACUUCCCAGGUGACCACACUACCUCAUAAGAGGAGGUGCCAGGAGGUGCUUGCUCUCCCUUCAGAGACAAGGACGAGAGGAGGUGCUGCGGGUGCCCCCCACUUCCCUUCCCCCACCCCCUUCUCUCUCUGCCCUACUCUAACUCAGCCCAUGUGUGUGUGUUUGCCUGAUAAAUAAACUGUAUCACUUUUUGCACUG